CCCACAUAUCUUUAUUUUAUCGAUGAACCAAACUUUCUUCUCAAUCUUCAGAAUGUCUGUCCUUCUGCUGUUUUUCAUCUUUGCUGACAAGGCAUGUCCAUCUUCACUUUUUUCCUUCCUUACAUAACUAAGUUUCCACCCUUGUACAUUCUACACCAAUUUCCAAUGCCAACAUACUUAUACUCAUGUGAAGCAAACUCAUCCAAUGAAAUAAUAUUAGCUCCACCAGUAGGCAC
This 236-nucleotide long non-coding RNA is filed under the name Elaeis guineensis (African oil palm). RNAcentral's name for it is "long non-coding RNA (EGUI_LNC029203)". The record is from RNAcentral. Lineage: Eukaryota; Viridiplantae; Streptophyta; Magnoliopsida; Arecales; Arecaceae.